GAUGAACGCUGGCGGCGUGCCUAAUACAUGCGAGUCGAGCGAACAGACGAGGAGCUUGCUCCUCUGACGUUAGCGGCGGACGGGUGAGUAACACGUGGAUAACCUACCUAUAAGACUGGGAUAACUUCGGGAAACCGGAGCUAAUACCGGAUAAUAUAUUGAACCGCAUGGUUCAAUAGUGAAAGACGGUUUUGCUGUCACUUAUAGAUGGAUCCGCGCCGCAUUAGCUAGUUGGUAAGGUAACGGCUUACCAAGGCAACGAUGCGUAGCCGACCUGAGAGGGUGAUCGGCCACACUGGAACUGAGACACGGUCCAGACUCCUACGGGAGGCAGCAGUAGGGAAUCUUCCGCAAUGGGCGAAAGCCUGACGGAGCAACGCCGCGUGAGUGAUGAAGGUCUUCGAAUCGUAAAACUCUGUUAUUAGUGAAGAACAAAUGUGUAAGUAACUAUGCACGUCUUGACGGUACCUAAUCAGAAAGCCACGGCUAACUACGUG
Molecule: ribosomal RNA, 497 nt
Filed under: uncultured bacterium
Lineage: Bacteria
Description: partial 16S ribosomal RNA
Rfam family: Bacterial small subunit ribosomal RNA
Source: RNAcentral